This 253-nucleotide unclassified non-coding RNA is filed under the name uncultured bacterium. RNAcentral's name for it is "contains 16S-23S intergenic spacer region". It matches the Rfam family "Bacterial small subunit ribosomal RNA", at positions 524 to 776 of the family's 1533-position model. The record is from RNAcentral.
GACGGAGGGCGCAAACGUUGUCCGGAAUCACUGGGCGUAAAGGGCACGUAGGCGGUUCGGUAAGUCAGAUGUGAAAUCUUAGGGCUCAACCCUGAAAUUGCAUUUGAAACUGCCGAUCUAGAGUUCGGUAGAGGAAGGCGGAAUUCCAGGUGUAGCGGUGAAAUGCGUAGAUAUCUGGAGGAACACCGGUGGCGAAGGCGGCCUUCUGGUCCGAUACUGACGCUGAUGUGCGAAAGCGUGGGGAGCAAACAGG